UUAAAGAGUGUAAAAACUCCCAACCCAUGUGAACUUACCUUUUACCCGGAUGCCCCUAAAAAGGCGGAUGGGCGUUGCUUCGGCCCCUGGCAACAGGGGUCGGAGGUGCCAAACUUUUGAUUUUUUAGUAUCUCUGAGGCCUAUUGGCAACUAUAACAACUUUCAACAACGGAUCUCUUGGCUCCAGCAUCGAUGAAGAACGCAGCGAAAUGCGAUAAGUAUUGUGAAUUGCAGAAUCCAGUGAAUCAUCGAAUCUUUGAACGCACAUUGCGCCCGCCGGAAUUCCGGCGGGCAUGCCUGUUCGAGCGUCAUUUCAACCCUCAAAUCCCCAGGAUUUGGUGUUGGGACGUCCGCGUUUAGCGGGGGUCCUCAAAUCUAUAGGCGGUACCGCACGGCACUGAACGCAGUAAUCUUUAUUCGUUUAGUAAGUCUGGCGGCUGCUUGCCUCUAAACCACCAAUUUUUAAAGGUUGACCUCGGAUCAGGUAGGAAUACCCGCUGAACUUAAGCAUAUCAAUAAGCGGAGGAAAAGAAACCAACAGGGAUUGCCUCAGUAACGGCGAGUGAAGCGGCAACAGCU
This 579-nucleotide ribosomal RNA is filed under the name fungal endophyte. Its description in RNAcentral is "eukaryotic LSU rRNA". The stretch from base 158 to 311 matches the Rfam family "5.8S ribosomal RNA". The record is from RNAcentral. Lineage: Eukaryota; Fungi.